RNAcentral lists this unclassified non-coding RNA (202 nucleotides) under plant metagenome. RNAcentral describes it as "partial contains small subunit ribosomal RNA, internal transcribed spacer 1, and 5.8S ribosomal RNA". The record is from RNAcentral.
UUUCCGUAGGUGAACCUGCGGAAGGAUCAUUGCCGGGUUCAGGGGGGGAAACCCCCCAACUCCCAACCCUUGCUUACCUACCACGUUGCUUCGGGGGGCCGUCUCGAUGGCCCCCCGGAGGUCAAUCAAACUAUUCUUCUACAGUCGUCAGAGCGAAUGCGAAAAUAAGUAAAAACUUUCGACAACGGAUCUCUUGGUUCUG